UCGAGAAUAGUCUACAAUGGGGGAAACCCUGAUAGUGCGACGCCGCGUGAACGAAGAAGCAUUUCGGUGUGUAAAGUUCUUUUCUAUAUGAUCAGUGCUGUUAAGUUGACAAGGUUUAACAGAGGGAUCUUAGUAUAGGAAUAAGCCACGGCUAACUCCGUGCCAGCAGCCGCGGUAACACGGGGGUGGCGAGCGUUGUCCGGAAUUACUAGGCGUAAAGGGUAAGUAGGCGGGAUAUUAAGUCAGAAGUUAAAUGCAUGGGCUCAACCGAUGUACGGCUUUUGAUACUGAUAUUCUGGAGUAAGGUGGGGGAAGACGGAAUUCCUGGUGUAGCGGUGGAAUGCGCAGAUAUCAGGAGGAACACCGGAGGCGAAGGCGGUCUUCUAUACCAUUACUGACGCUGAAUUACGAAGGUGUGGGUAUCAAACA
Molecule: ribosomal RNA, 429 nt
Filed under: bacterium enrichment culture
Lineage: Bacteria
Description: bacterial SSU rRNA
Rfam family: Bacterial small subunit ribosomal RNA
Source: RNAcentral